RNAcentral lists this ribosomal RNA (402 nucleotides) under uncultured Sulfitobacter sp. Its description in RNAcentral is "bacterial SSU rRNA". It matches the Rfam family "Bacterial small subunit ribosomal RNA", at positions 353 to 772 of the family's 1533-position model. Lineage: Bacteria; Pseudomonadati; Pseudomonadota; Alphaproteobacteria; Rhodobacterales; Roseobacteraceae. The record is from RNAcentral.
AGUGGGGAAUCUUAGACAAUGGGCGCAAGCCUGAUCUAGCCAUGCCGCGUGAGUGAUGAAGGCCCUAGGGUCGUAAAGCUCUUUCGCCAGGGAUGAUAAUGACAGUACCUGGUAAAGAAACCCCGGCUAACUCCGUGCCAGCAGCCGCGGUAAUACGGAGGGGGUUAGCGUUGUUCGGAAUUACUGGGCGUAAAGCGCACGUAGGCGGAUCAGAAAGUUGGGGGUGAAAUCCCGGGGCUCAACCCCGGAACUGCCUCCAAAACUCCUGGUCUUGAGUUCGAGAGAGGUGAGUGGAAUUCCGAGUGUAGAGGUGAAAUUCGUAGAUAUUCGGAGGAACACCAGUGGCGAAGGCGGCUCACUGGCUCGAUACUGACGCUGAGGUGCGAAAGUGUGGGGAGCAAA